AGUGAACGCUGGCGGUAGGCCUAACACAUGCAAGUCGAACGGCAGCACAGUAAGAGCUUGCUCUUACGGGUGGCGAGUGGCGGACGGGUGAGGAAUACAUCGGAAUCUACUUUUUCGUGGGGGAUAACGUAGGGAAACUUACGCUAAUACCGCAUACGACCUACGGGUGAAAGCAGGGGAUCUUCGGACCUUGCGCGAUUGAAUGAGCCGAUGUCGGAUUAGCUAGUUGGCGGGGUAAAGGCCCACCAAGGCGACGAUCCGUAGCUGGUCUGAGAGGAUGAUCAGCCACACUGGAACUGAGACACGGUCCAGACUCCUACGGGAGGCAGCAGUGGGGAAUAUUGGACAAUGGGCGCAAGCCUGAUCCAGCCAUACCGCGUGGGUGAAGAAGGCCUUCUGGUUGUAAAGCCAUUUUGUUGGGAAAGAAAAGCAGCAGGUUAAUACCCCGCUGUUCUGACGGUACCCAAAGAAUAAGCACCGGCUAACUUCGUG
Molecule: ribosomal RNA, 492 nt
Filed under: uncultured bacterium
Lineage: Bacteria
Description: partial 16S ribosomal RNA
Rfam family: Bacterial small subunit ribosomal RNA
Source: RNAcentral